Long non-coding RNA from Columba livia (rock pigeon), 4630 nucleotides. RefSeq lists it as uncharacterized. The transcript is spliced from 3 exons. Lineage: Eukaryota; Metazoa; Chordata; Aves; Columbiformes; Columbidae. The record is from RefSeq and is a predicted model, not a curated record.
UUAGCUUACCUCCAAGGACUGUGUUUAACAGUGUACAAACCUUUUUUAUUGAUGAGGGCAUUUGCACACAUCUCCAUUCAACUUAGUGUCACCAUCCCCUGUUGCAUUCAAGGACAAAUGCUUUUAAACUUUGAGCGUGAUAGAAAAGCUUUCUCCAGUCUACCAGCUCUGCUUUUGCAGAGUGCUCUUUUCUACUUAUGUACAUGAGGUUAAAUAAUGAAGUUUUAAAUAAAUUAGUAUCAUGAAUUGAUUGUGUUAAGAAUGAGAGUUACCUUGGCAGUGCAAGGGAUUUCCCACAUGGUUUCAUUUUUUCAAAGUCCAUGUGUAAGUUAAUUCUUAUAACUGGAAUAAUCAAAUCAAUCCCUAACAGAAUACUAAUCACAAGCCUUGACACAAGACCUUAUUCACAAGAUGUUAUUCAGUGGAUUGCAGUUUCCAGGCUGAGUAACUUUGGUGAUCAGAUCUGCAUAAUCAAUUCCAGUCUGCAGCAAUCCUAAUUGUACGGAAACGGAAAGACUUCUUUCAUUCCAUCAGGACUCAUUACACAGCGGCCCCAGGCUGCCCCUCCUCUACAGAGUGUCUCAGCUUUUCAGUGUCUUCUGUACAGGCUCCGAGUGGGUUUAUGUUCUUGGCCCUGUUGUCUCACUCAAUUUUCCUAUUUAGUGAUGGCACAGACUCUAAUAGCCAAACAGUUCUGGAGGACAAUUUUUGUAUUUUUGGUGGGAUGCUCUGACAAGCUGAGUUUCUCAGGAGUGACAAUCUUCCUGUAGGCUGGUAUUAUGCAGUCAGUAAUGUUUUUUUAAAUUUUGACUCCCUUGCUUCGUGUUUCAAAGAAAAGACAGAACCCUGGAGGACUCUGGCCUUACAGUGAAAGUGUCAGUUGUUGGUAUAUGGAAUUAGACAAACAAUAAAACAGUUUGUACAUACUAAUUGGAAGGAAGCUUAUUGUAUUGCUUGUUUACAAAGUCGUUUGUUCUAGUUUCUGUUCCUCUGAAUGUAGAAUGAUCUUUAGCACACGUCUCUAGGUCUCUGCUGCCCACUUCCAAUCGACCUGACUGAUAGUUUUCAUCAUUUUUUUUUCUAAUAGAUUGUUUUGGAGCUUACUCAGAAUUCUGCUUCGGGAGCACACCUGCAUGCCUGAAUUUUCGCUCCCUGUAUUCAACUCAGUCUUCAUCUUUACACUGCCUGGAUAACAUGUAUUUAGAUGGAACUGUUAGAUAAAUCCCAGUGCAGGAACUAUCUAAAAAUAGCAUUUCUUCAUGCAUUGCUUUUCCUCUGUAGAGAUGGGGGAGGGAGUAGGUCCUUUCUCCUUUUCAGAUUGGGUAGCACUACUGAUCUGACUUCAGUAAAAUAGACUAUUAUGUCUCGGACACCCAUUUGUUUUUCUCAGAGAUUGCAUCUGGGAGAGCUGGCAUCUUUAAAUGCUCUGAAUUUUGGAUCCAGAGCAGGGGCUUGUUAUAAUGAGCAUAAUGUUGUGAGCACUUUGAUUUGAAUUGCCUUUUCUCCUGUUUUGCAUCACAUGUGAAGUUCUUUACUUAGAAAGCGUUUUGCAUUGGAAGAGAAACUUGAGCCCAUGAGAGAAAUAUAAAACAAAGAGGCUAUUUUUGGAAAGUGUAGAGGUGCUUUCUUAUGCUAUACGUGGUUUGAAACAUCAUGAGGUAGCUCCUUUCUAUUGCUGUCUUCAUGCUUCCUGUGAACUGCUUUUGGAUCAGAUGAAACAUUUUCCUCAUCUUGAACAGACAAUUUACAGACUAACUGCAGUAUUGACAGACCAUGUUGUGAGAAAGACACUGAAAGGAGGAGGAUUUGGAAUACAAGCUAAUGACUGCAUCUCAAGAUUUAUCAGCUUAUAUCAGCAUACUAUAUAUGUCGGAAGAAAAGCAGCUGUCUGCAAAUUCCUAGGUUGUUUCCAUUUUCUUGUUCAAACUGGCUUGUGAACUUUGGCUUUAUUUGUAGUGUUCAUAGAAGAAUGUGAAUGUUGCAGUUACUACAAGGAUCCAGUGGCAUUGUAUUAAAUCAGUAACUGCUUUGGUGAUUUGCCAACAUGCUUUUUACCCAUGCCUUUCCAGAUGCUUUACAAAGAACAUGUUAUUUCUACUUUAUAGAUGAUGGAACUAAAGAGCGGAGAGGUUGAGGGACUUGUCUGAAAUCUCAGGGUGAGUGAGAGACAGAGACUGAAGGAGACUCUAAGUUUCAUUAUUUCUUGUUUACCCCUUUAUUCACUGUACCAUAGUCUUGCUCUCAUUCCUAAUCCCUUUGUAAAUAACUCAUGAGGAGGCUGUUUUGCUGGCUUGGACAGCUGUCUAGCAUGCGUUAUUUGAGUGAAACUGCAUUUUCCAUACUCAGGUGGUCAAUAAUGUAACAUGUCUUACUGGGUGGGCAUUUAAAAUUUCUAUAACCCAUGAAAGUGAGAAGAGAGCCAAGGAAACAACUGAAUCCUUACACUGAGACAGUGAAAAUUCUAAUUCUUAACAGUUCUUCCUCAAAUCUUCUUUUAAUUUAACUUUUAUUGAAAUAUUUCAGCAGGAGAGAUUAAAAACUGAUGGGGCAAAUAAUUAAUGGAAAAAAAAAAGUAUUCAUCCUCAUAGAAAGGAACAGCAUUAGAGGAAUUUUAUACCUAGCUCCUGCGUACAGCCUCUCUCUUGUGAAAAUGCAUCCUAUACACAUUUAUUUGACUCGCUGAAAGCUGCUGUUCUUGUUUCAGCCUCAUUCUCUGGACAGCCAGUAGUUUAAGAAUCUUUUAAAGGAGUUAACCCAAUAUGCUUGACUAAGACAUGAAUGGUAAAUCUCUGUUUAGUCGUUCUGAUAUUACUUUGAUUUGCUGGGAAUAUCCUUGCUUGUAAAUUGAAAAGGAUACAGAGACUUACCUGUAAAACUAAUAAAUGGUCCCUCGCAGCAUUUGGUCCUGGCUAAACAUCACUGGUCAGACUAGCUCCAGGGCAGAGCUCUCACUCUGUACUUUCAAUGCUGGUACACAUUUGGAAACUGCAAGUUUAAUAAUAUUGACCUUGGCAGUCUGGGCUUUUGGUCCUCUGGUCUAGGGACUGGGUCCUGGCACCGCUCGGUUUGCUAGUAUCGAUAUUGUCAUAUAUUGCAUUAUCCUCAGAACAACCAGAGCUCAGCAAGGGUGCAAACAAUGGAGCUAGCUUGGAAAGAGCCUGUGGGAAAUCAUACAGAAAGCCACCAUCUUUGAGGAAUUUGAGUUUUGGUUAUGUAAUGAAUUACAGAUAAUGUCUAAACAAAACAAACAAAAACCAGUGAGUUUUGGACACUAACCUCUGGUUGCUCCAAACAGAGUCAAGUAGUUAACCCAAGCUUUGAAGGAAGUGAAAGACAAAACCCCAUUAUGAAGGACAAGUUUAUGUGAUAACUCGCAGCUCUUGGUGUGAAAUAUGUUGUCAGUGUAAUCUGUUUCCGUAUUGUCUUUCACAAGAAGUGCAGCACGCCAAACACUUGGAGCUGAUUUUACUGAUAAUGCAUGUAGUGGCAUCAACAGAAGGUUGAGAAAGGCAGUGCCUUCAGGCUCAGCAUCACAAAAUAUUACAAUACUGCUGCCUUUGCAGUGUUCACAGUAAACCAGGAAAUAAAUACAUUUACAAUUACAUGAGAAGCAGAAAAUAAAUUUGAAAAUAAAGGGAUUGUUUAUGAUGAAGAAAGAUUCAGAAUGUUGCUUUAAAGGUAGGAGCCGAAGGGGACCAGCUUUUGAGCCUAGUUGUGAAAUGGUUAACAGGCUGGAGAAUAAUAUUAGAAAGUUGUCCCUAGAGGAGCUGUUCAGAUAAUAAUGAAAAUUCAUGGACAUUUUUGAAAUUCAGGUGUCUUUUCAAUUUGUGUUCAGAAUUUCUCAAUAAUAAAGAGAAGCAUACUUACAUAAAUUAUACUAAAACCAUGUAGUUUGCAGUUAGGUAGCAAAUGCUGUAUAUUAGCAUUCUUGGGAGUAUAAAGAUUUGGGACAUAAAGGUCCAUUUACUUUUUUAUUGUCCUUUUUUUCUUAAUUUCCUUCAAGCCUGGAAGAAUCAGGAACCCUGGAAUUUACAUUGAAAACACCUCCAAACAACAUAAUUACUAACAAAGUAUUUCUCCUAUAUUGGGCCAAAUGGUGUGAAUCAACAUAACACCACUGAAGUCAGCUUUAUGUACAAGUUGCUGAUAACAAAUUAGUGGUUAAUAAGAACAGAGAUUUCAGAAGGGACAUUAAACCUUAACCUCCUUGAUUAGAGACUUUCAGAGUAGAAAUUUGGUCCAAAGAGCUCCCCAGAAUGUUUGCUCUGCAUAUCUCAUUCCACUAAAUGACUCUCUUCUCAAAUUAGAAACUUGGCGUUCAGAACAAAAUAGUGUUUCAGAGAGAUGUCAAAGGGAGAAAUCAAGGCCGUACUGAGCAUUGCAGUAUGCUUUGAUGUCAAGAGAUUUGGAAGGCGACAUUUCCAGCUGUUCACAGAAAGCUAAGUUGGGUCUCCCUUUUUCCAGAAGGAAUAUAUUUUCCUCACCUUUCCAAAGAAAGAUUAACUUUUCUGGUGACCAAGGCUGGGACCUUUGUAACUCCUUCCCUUCCCCUUACUCUCUAAAGAACCUUCUCCCCCAAAGGAGAAAAACAUACCAGUUCUUGAAAGUUACUGAUGACACCUGAACUUUU